UACAGAGGUCUCAACCGUUGUUCGGAUUCAUUGGGCGUAAAGGGUGCGUAGGCGGUCGCGCAAGUCGGGUGUGAAAGCCCCGGGCUCAACCUGGGAAUUGCAUUCGAGACUGAAUAGCUAGGGUACGGUAGAGGGAAGUGGAAUUUCCGGUGUAGCGGUGAAAUGCGUAGAUAUCGGAAGGAACAUCAGUGGCGAAAGCGACUUCCUGGACCAGUACCGACGUUCAGGCACGAAAGCGUGGGGAGCAAACAGG
This 253-nucleotide ribosomal RNA is filed under the name uncultured bacterium. RNAcentral's name for it is "partial 16S ribosomal RNA". It matches the Rfam family "Bacterial small subunit ribosomal RNA", at positions 524 to 776 of the family's 1533-position model. The record is from RNAcentral.